RNAcentral lists this ribosomal RNA (449 nucleotides) under uncultured bacterium. RNAcentral's name for it is "partial 16S ribosomal RNA". It matches the Rfam family "Bacterial small subunit ribosomal RNA", at positions 29 to 523 of the family's 1533-position model. The record is from RNAcentral.
AACGAACGCUGGCGGCAGGCCUAACACAUGCAAGUCGAGCGAAGCCUUCGGGCUUAGCGGCGGACGGGUGAGUAACGCGUGGGGACGUGCCCUUUGGUACGGAAUAGCCCCGGGAAACUGGGAGUAAUACCGUAUGUGCCCUUCGGGGGAAAGAUUUAUCGCCAAAGGAUCGGCCCGCGUUGGAUUAGGUAGUUGGUGGGGUAAUGGCCUACCAAGCCGACGAUCCAUAGCUGGUUUGAGAGGAUGAUCAGCCACACUGGGACUGAGACACGGCCCAGACUCCUACGGGAGGCAGCAGUGGGGAAUCUUAGACAAUGGGGGAAACCCUGAUCUAGCCAUGCCGCGUGAUCGAUGAAGGCCUUAGGGUUGUAAAGAUCUUUCAGUGGGGAAGAUAAUGACUGUACCCACAGAAGAAGCCCCGGCUAACUCCGUGCCAGCCGCCGCAGUAA